CUCCUGUUCGAUAGGUGGAAAAGCUUUAAGGACAAAAUUCUCAUAUAUUUUAAACGGCACAUCCAUAACGAAGACUGCAAGCGACUACUACUUUAUGUACAACACGCCAGCGUUGAUGCCCAGGAUUACUUGACCCUUAUUUUGCUUAAUGCCGUCUUGCCGCCGACAUCUCGGACCUUGAAUCAAAACGGGAAAAGGAACCAAAAACCGACAAAAGCGGAUGCUAAACUUUCGAUGGUACUACGGCUUUCAAGCUUGAAUGACUAUGAACGUAGUAUCAACAAUAUAGUCAGGGAAAAGUAUUGAGAGUCGCUGGUAAGGUGUGACUCCUCCCUGAAAAGCAUAUAUGAUGGACGUUGAUGCACUACGAGCAGUACAAACAAGUGGCCCAACGACACCAAGCACGUGCUUGUUACGCGCGGGGCCCUUUUAUCAAUUUGGGCAAAAAUGCG
Drosophila subpulchrella is the source of this 452-nucleotide long non-coding RNA. RefSeq lists it as uncharacterized. The record is from RefSeq and is a predicted model, not a curated record. NCBI's taxonomy places the organism in Eukaryota, Metazoa, Arthropoda, Insecta, Diptera, Drosophilidae. The transcript is spliced from 3 exons.